UGGUUCUGGCAUCGAUGAAGAACGCAGCGAAAUGCGAUAAGUAAUGUGAAUUGCAGAAUUCAGUGAAUCAUCAAAUCUUUGAACGCACAUUGCGCCCCUUGGUACUCCAGGGGGCAUGCCUGUUCGAGCGUCAUUUCACCACUCAAGCCUCGCUUGGUGUUGGGCGUCCGCGGUCCCCGCGCGCCCCAAUGUCCUCCGGCGGAGCCGUCCACUCUGAAGCGUUGCGACCGACGACUCGCUUCUAGGGGUGGGCCGGCCUCCUGCCGCCACACCUCUCUCCAGGUUGACCUCGGAUCAGGUAGGGAUACCCGCUGA
This 315-nucleotide unclassified non-coding RNA is filed under the name uncultured fungus. RNAcentral's name for it is "partial contains 5.8S ribosomal RNA and internal transcribed spacer 2". The stretch from base 1 to 133 matches the Rfam family "5.8S ribosomal RNA", at positions 22 to 154 of the family's 154-position model. The record is from RNAcentral. Lineage: Eukaryota; Fungi.